AGCAGCGUGGCUCAGUGGAAAGAGCACGGGCUUGGGAGUCAGAGGUCGUGGGUUCUAAUCCCAGCUCUGCCA
Non-coding RNA from Ornithorhynchus anatinus (platypus), 72 nucleotides. NCBI's taxonomy places the organism in Eukaryota, Metazoa, Chordata, Mammalia, Monotremata, Ornithorhynchidae. The record is from Rfam.